UACGGAGGAUGCAAGCGUUAUCCGGAAUGAUUGGGCGUAAAGCGUCCGCAGGUGGCUGUGUAAGUCUGCUGUCAAAGAGCGAAGCUCAACUUCGUAAAGGCAGUGGAAACUACACGGCUAGAGUGCGUUCGGGGCAGAGGGAAUUCCUGGUGUAGCGGUGAAAUGCGUAGAGAUCAGGAAGAACACCGGUGGCGAAGGCGCUCUGCUAGGCCGCAACUGACACUGAGGGACGAAAGCGUGGGGAUCAAACAGG
RNAcentral lists this ribosomal RNA (253 nucleotides) under uncultured bacterium. RNAcentral describes it as "partial 16S ribosomal RNA". It matches the Rfam family "Bacterial small subunit ribosomal RNA", at positions 524 to 776 of the family's 1533-position model. The record is from RNAcentral.